AAGAAAACGAUGUGAGGCAUAUUAGGCUGUUAACUUAAAAGUGGGGUUCCCCUUUUCUUA
RNAcentral lists this transfer RNA (60 nucleotides) under Macrostomum lignano. Its description in RNAcentral is "tRNA-Asn". The record is from RNAcentral. Lineage: Eukaryota; Metazoa; Platyhelminthes; Macrostomidae.